RNAcentral lists this ribosomal RNA (253 nucleotides) under uncultured bacterium. Its description in RNAcentral is "partial 16S ribosomal RNA". It matches the Rfam family "Bacterial small subunit ribosomal RNA", at positions 524 to 776 of the family's 1533-position model. The record is from RNAcentral.
GACAGAGGGGGCAAGCGUUGCUCGGAAUUACUGGGCGUAAAGGGCGCGUAGGCGGAAUGGCAAGUCGGUCGUGAAAUCCCUCGGCUUAACCGGGGAACUGCGUCUGAUACUGGAUGGCUUGAGUUUGGGAGAGGGACGCGGAAUUCCAGGUGUAGCGGUGAAAUGCGUAGAUAUCUGGAGGAACACCGGUGGCGAAGGCGGCGUCCUGGACCAACACUGACACUGAUGAGCGAAAGCCAGGGGAGCAAACGGG